RNAcentral lists this ribosomal RNA (464 nucleotides) under uncultured bacterium. RNAcentral's name for it is "bacterial SSU rRNA". It matches the Rfam family "Bacterial small subunit ribosomal RNA", at positions 1 to 507 of the family's 1533-position model. The record is from RNAcentral.
ACAUCACGAGUUUGAUCCUGGCUCAGAGCGAACGCUGGCGGCAGGCCUAACACAUGCAAGUCGAGCGGCCGUAGCAAUACGGCAGCGGCAGACGGGAGAGUAACACGUGGGAACGCGCCCUUCGGUUCGGGAUAACCCAGGGAAACUUGGGCUAAUACCGGAUACGCCCUUACGGGGAAAGAUUUAUUGCCGAAGGAACGGCCCGCGGCCGAUUAGCUAGUUGGUGAGGUAACGGCUCACCAAGGCGACGAUCGGUAGCCGGACUGAGAGGUUGACCGGCCACAUUGGGACUGAGACACGGCCCAGACUCCUACGGGAGGCAGCAGUGGGGAAUAUUGGGCAAUGGGCGAAAGCCUGACCCAGCGACGCCGCGUGAGGGAAGAAGGUCUUCGGAUUGUAAACCUCUGUUGAUAGGGAAGAAGAAAGUGACGGUACCUAUCGAGGAAGUCACGGCUAACUACGUG